Molecule: ribosomal RNA, 275 nt
Filed under: uncultured bacterium
Lineage: Bacteria
Description: partial 16S ribosomal RNA
Rfam family: Bacterial small subunit ribosomal RNA
Source: RNAcentral
GCGUGAGUGAUAAAGGCCUUCGGGUUGUAAAGCUCUUUUGUCAGGGAAGAUGAUGACGGUACCUGACGAAUAAGCUCCGGCUAACUUCGUGCCAGCAGCCGCGGUAAUACGAGGGGAGCUAGCGUUGUUCGGAAUUACUGGGCGUAAAGGGCGCGUAGGCGGUAUCAUAAGUCAGAUGUGAAAGCCCCGGGCUUAACCUGGGAGGUGCAUUUGAAACUAUGAAACUAGAGAUCGAGAGAGGAAAGUGGAAUUACGAGUGUAGAGGUGAAAUUCAU